Carassius gibelio (silver crucian carp) is the source of this 6380-nucleotide long non-coding RNA. RefSeq lists it as uncharacterized. The transcript has 3 exons. The record is from RefSeq and is a predicted model, not a curated record. NCBI's taxonomy places the organism in Eukaryota, Metazoa, Chordata, Actinopteri, Cypriniformes, Cyprinidae.
ACGCGAGCCUCACAGCAGUGUUGCCAAGUCCGCGGUUUUCCGACGUAACUGGUCUACUUUGACACUGUUGACGCGUUGAAGCGAACACAAUAGCGCAAUAUUUAGCCCCUGGAAAGCUAAGUUUACCAAGGGAAACCCAGCCCCCCAAAAAAGGGCAUUCUACCUCCCAGGAACGCGAUUUUUAAUGGGGAACGUGUUGGGAGGUUUUGUUGUAAAAACUUGACAAUCCUGCUAACAGUUGACACGCUAACGUUAGCUCAGCAUUUUUGUUGUUUAAUCUCAAAUUGAGGCAAAACUAAUCUUCUUUCUUUCUUUCUUUCUUUCAGCAAGUCAGCACACUGUACAGUUUCUUUCAGAGAUAUGUUUCAUACAUAGAGUUAUUUAUCUGAGGUAAUUGACGUUACUGACAGAAUAUGCGCAAAGUUUUAAAUUUGCCUUUGGACCAAAAUAGUAACUUGUUACAAUAAUGACUUAUUUUGGUCACAGAUCAGUGACCGUGUUGGUUCGACCAAUUUAACCCUCGUCAUUUUCUUUUCAGAAUGAGUGGAAGUGGGGCACAGUCUUUGUUUGUCCUCAAUCUUCCGGAGCUGAGGAAUUUAUGUUGUGUAAAUCUGUUCUCUCCGAACAAUUGCAAUGAAUGAGAAAUGAGAGACAAACAAGUGAAUGCAUGCAGAUGAAAAGACAAUAAAAUGUGUGCUGAUUAAAAAACUAUAGUUUUUGUUUUUCACAUAUUUAUUAGAUUUGUGAUAGAUUAUAUUUUGAGGCUUGGCAUUAUUGACCCAUACUUGAUUUAACUGCUUGAAACACUCCAUAAUUAACUGUACUUUCUUUUUGCAAUUUUAUGGAUUUUUCUUAGUUGAGGCCAUGGCUAUGCAUGCAAAGUUUAGUUUUGGAAAGGCUGUACAAUAACAUGCCGGUUUUCAUGCAGCUCAUUAAAAAUCAGCACUUUGAAAAAAAAAAAAAAUGUAAAAACUUACAUUUACAUUUAGUCAUUUUGCAGAUGAUUUUAUCCAAAGUGACUUACAAUUGGGGGAUACAUAAAGCAAUUCUUCUUAAUAAAGACGCAAACAGACACCAAGUCACAGACCAAGUUUUAGACAUUGUUCAAAUAAGUACAAGAUUUUAUUUUUAUUUAUUUUUUUAUGAUGAAGUCCAGUAGCUUCAAAAGAGAUGAGUUUUCAGCUGUCGCUUGAAAAUUGUCAGGGAUUCAGCAUUCCUGAAAGGGGCGGGAAGAUCAUUCCACCAGCUAGGAACGGUGAACGAGAAUGUUCUGGAAAAUGAUUUGGAGCCUCUCUGUGAUGGUACCACAAGUCGUCGCUCGCUCACUAGUGGAUCUCAGACUUCUGGAGGGGAUAUACAGUAGAUUUGUAGUAGUGAGUGGAAGUAGGCAGGUGCGAGCCAUAACUGGUACCCAGUGCAAGGAGAUAAACCCUUACGAAAAAUAAGCAUGGUUUUAUUAUAGUAAAACUGUAGUAACCCAUGUUUUUUUGGCUUAUUGACUGCCAUUUGUAUAACCAAAGAUUUACUGCAUAUACAAUGGUUAAACUAUGGUUAAUAAUUUGUGAUUACCAUGGUUUAACUAUAGUAACCAUGGUUUUUUGGUUUUAUUUGUACUAAAACCAUGGUUAAUUUUUGUAAGGUAAGAGAGGUAUAACAUGGGCUCUUUUGGGUUCAUUGCAAGACCAGUCUGAAUAAUUUGUAGAGGUUUGAUUGUGCUUGAUUGAAGUCUAGACAGAAGAGCAUUGCAGAAGUCCAGCCUAGAAAUGACAAGGGCCUGGUCAAGAAGUUAUGCAGCAUGCUCUGUUAGAAAGGCCCUGAUCGUUCUGUUAAUAAAACCAAGAAAGAAAAGAAAAGGAAGCAACAACAACAAUUUACCCAAUUUACCCUCACAAGGGUUUGAGAACCAAGACAAGGCAGAUGCUAUCUACACCAAUUAAAUGUAGAAAAUGGUAAAAAUAAAAUUUAAGUACCACUAAUGAUGCAUACUGUAUAAUUUAUACAAUAUGUAGUUUUGUGCGCCUCAGUGUGCAUAAAUAGGCAUAAUAAAAAAUAAAAAAAUCACGGACAUUUUUAUCAAAAAUAUUAGGGUCAAGUUGACCUCUAUUACAAAGGAAGGAACUACUCAAUAUGAGUUAAUAAUGUAUUACUGUUAUAUUUUAAAUCUCUUACAAGUUGCAAUAGAUUUUAUUCUUAUAGGAUAUAUUCUUAAUAUUUUUCAUUUUGUUGAUUUUUGGCAAAUUGCAUGGUCUGUUUGAGCUCCAGCACAAAAGAGGUACCCCGAUUUUCAUCACAACAGCAGGGUUAAGUAUGUAAAACAAUAUCACUACAGUUUUGGCCUGUGAAAUCAGCUGAACAGACCACGAGGCAAAGCUUUAUAUUUCAUUAUCUUGACCUCUGAAGUGACAAAGGCUUUUACUUCUGUCUUGCAGGGAGCUUGUUCUGAGGUCCUGUGUCGGGGUAUUUUGGGCACAUCACUGUAUGACUAUUUGAUUUUACAAGAGUGGUAUUAUCCAGGCCUUUGCACACAAACAUGGUCUACAGGUGAGUUUUAAGUUAUUUUUCUGAGAAUCUGUUUUAUCCAAAAAAAAAAAAAAAGACUGAAAUGUUCAUGUUGCUCCAUGUGUUUGGUCUGACACUACACUAUUAACUUGCCUGAAUAGUGAGUGUCUCCACUGCAUCAGAACAUAACAUACACUACAGUUAAAAAGUCCAGGGUCAUAAGGACUUUAUAUACAUCUUUUUUUUUUUUUUUAAGUCUCCUGCAAAAGAAGUCACCAAGGUAAAUAAUUAUAAACAGUAUUAUAGUGAAAAAAAAUCAGAUUUGGCCCACUUUUGCCCUCAGUGUUAACAUAGCAUUUCUGCUUCUCAAAAUCUCUUUCUUUUUGUCCCGCAGUUCAACCCUUCUCAAAGGGUAUUUCCUGUGAUUCUGCAGAAGUGUUUGUCUUAUUCUGUGAUUGCUAAACUGGCCCCCAAAUGGAACAAAGCAGGCCAAUAUGUUGUAGCAAGUGAAAACAGUAUACUUACAAAAGCAUGAAACAUUUCCAUGAUUCUAGAAGUAAAAUAAAAAAAAAAAACCAAGCUGAAUUUUGCCUGUGCAUGGUACAUACAAUAGAAAUUGACAAUUAUUGCUCUCUGAAUGUGUAGGCAGUCAUCCACUAGUGUAGGUUGAGGGUAAUGUUCACUGUGUGGCUGAUUUAUCUGGUGUGUAAUCGUGUCUUUGCUUCACCUUGAUCUGUCUUUCUAGUGCAGAGUAAUUAAUGUAGUGUAAUAGACUGGAUGAUCUUUGCUGAACUAAUAUUUUAUCACCUUAGCUCAAGGUUAGCAAGUGUCAGUUCAGCCAAGUUUAACAGAAAUGAGCACACACAUUGAAUUUUGGAGUUCACCAAUUACUAAUUAAUGGCAAUUAAUCUGGAAAGUGUGUGUGAUGCUUCUACACAAGAGUCAAUUAGCCGGUCAUUCAGUAUUGUCUCCUAUCCAAGAUUGAGUGCUUAUUAGAUAUUAAGUUAAAAUGAGUGCAUGUUAAGAUGAUCAGAUAGUUUGAUGGCCUUGUGUUGGAGGCUGUGCCUUGAAAACAUGUGUGGUGCCAUCCUUGAUCUCAGAUAAAGCUGCAUUCAUGGCUCUUUUGGAAGUCUUCGGAGUUCUCUAUCAAAGUUCAGCAAAGACAAUUCAUCAUUAUCACAGCUCUCCUGGUGAAUAUGUCAGGGUUGUAAAAUCACGUCAUCACAAACUCUUCUUAAUGAUGGUCGCAACACUCCGCCAUCACAUAGUUUUUAAUGAAUUACACAGAAAUCUCAGGGCAGUUUGUUUCAUCAUCUCAACAGGGAUUUUUCCUUCUUUCCCAGGAAAAGAUUUCAUCAGUGACUCUGGAAAACUCAGUGCAGUUGGUAGGUCGGAGGCGUUUGUAUACUUUGGCACGAGACGCUGUCGUUUGUGUUCACAUGGUCAGACUCCGAUUUAAGGAGUGACUAAGGUUCAGAACUUAAAUGUAUAUAUAUCUAAAAAAAAAAACAUUUGAAUGUGUUCCUACUAGUGAAAACAACAUAAUUUUGUUCUGUUUUGCUCACUGUUAGCCCAUUUCUGAAUACUGUACUCCUUUUGCUUUAUCCCAGAAACACGUAUGCUUUCUGAGUCACAUUUUAAGCCCCGGUUUAUCAUGUUUUGCUCCUCCCUGAAGCCUAGAUGCCUUCCAGAGUUCACUCAGAAACUGAUGGUGACACAGACACGUGUUCUCAUUCUCACUGACUCAUGCUCACGUCUGUACUCUUGUAUAUUCUUCCACAGUGCUUGAACUGAGUCUCACUGAGACUCAACUGUGUGUCAGUGUGGAAGCUAACACAGGCAGACUUCCUCCAGCUGUGUCUGGAUAUCAGCUGCCCUCAGUAAGUGAAGAAGAGGAACUCGGCUACUCCUGUGUGUACUUUAAACCAAUAGGUGACAAACUGUUCACGUCCUUUAGAAACUGUUCUAGUGUAUGGGGAGUUCCCUGAUAAUAAUACACAGAUUUCCGCUAUGUUUAGCACAAUAUUUUCAUAUUUUCAACUUCUCAAAAGCACUGAAUUAGAAUCUUUUUUUUGCAUGUGCUUAUUAUUUUUUAUCAUUAAUCUAAAGUCAUUGUUGCUUGUAAAAUAAAUUGUUUUUCAGACAUAAAUUAUACUGCUGGUUUAAAAAUGUAAUGUGAAAAGUGGUGCAGCAGUCUGUGUUGAUUGACAUUCAUGCAACAUGAUAAUGACACCUAGUGGACAUGAACCAGAUAGGAACAGUAGUUGAGAAAACUCAGACAUCACUUAAUGCCAUCAUGAGAAACAGUUUGCAUUCUGCAACAUUUCACACAUUAGUAUGACACACCGUUGCCGCCUGAUCCUUAUUACAUUGCAUUAAUUUCAUUGGUGAUGUUAAAUGUUUAAUCCAAUUUUGGAAAAAAUCCUGAUGCUAGUACAAUCAAAUGAUGGAUCAAGAAUGGGUGUUAAAGAUGAUUUCUUCUGGUUGCUUCAAUGUGUUUUUAGUGUGUUUAUAUGUCAGUGUCAGGUGUUUAAAAAGGCUGCAUUUAUUUGAUCAAAAUCGCAGAAAAAAACAGAAAUAAUGUGAAAUAUUAUUCCAAAUUAGAAUAACUAUUUUCUGUGUGAAUUUAUUGUAAAAUGUAAUUUGUUUAUGUGAUGCAAAGCUGAAUUUUCAGCAUCAUUUCAAGCACACUUCAAGCACACGUCAGUACUCCAGUCUUUCAGUAAUCAUCUGCUCAAGAAACUGCUUUAGCUGCGUAACUUUAGAAAUACUGUAAAUUUUCAUCAAUUAAAUUAAUCUAUGCUGAAUGAAAAUAUUAAGUUUUUUAAUGUAGUGUACAUAAAGAAAAUCUGCUUACAGUACUAUAAAGACAAUAUGCAUGCUCCAUACGGAACAAAAAAAGACAUCGUAGGAGACUUCAUCUGUGUUUCAAUCCCAGUGCAAUGAGCCCCAGAACUCACCCUAUUCCCAAACAUGUUUCUCAUUAUUAAUAUUACAUAACACCCAUUUUCACUUUAAGUGCUAGGUCUCUGCUCAUAAUGAAUCAGAGCAGCAAUUACAUCACACAUUGCAAGGACAAAUUAAAGAUUAUUAACGCACCAUACAUAUCUCAUCAUGCUGCGUUUGGAUCUUAUUUAUAUAUAACCGCAUUGUUCUUUGUGUUUGUGUUUUUUUUUUUAUGUUGGCAGUCAGAUAUAAAUAUCCUUCUUGACUUCCUGCUCAGAUAUCCAUCAUGCUGUGUGCACUCUCAGCCGGUGCAGUGCAUUCCCAGAGUGGACCUGCAGGGGGGGCUUGGACCCUUCAUAUCAGAUCUGCAGGCCGGAGAGUUUUCAUGUGCAGAUGACCUGCAAGCCUUGCUACUACAGCAAUGAACUGAAAACACCACACACACACACACACACGUCUAUACACACAAACAUACCAUCACUUCGCUUACUCUCCUGCUUAAAACAAUAAAGUAGCUAUUAAUUGAAUCUGACAUCAAGUACUGCACUCUGCUGCUGUGUAUUACUUCUGGCAUUGCCCAGUUUGUCAUGGCUGUGCUCAUCAGUGGCACAGACGCAGCUGGAUGUGUUGCUUUAUGGAUGGUCCAAAGCCACUGAGAUGCAUGUGUUAUCCAGAUUUUGCAUUCAUGUUGUGAAGAAAGUGGAUUAUGCAGACAGUAGGAAUCUUAUGAUAUAAUAUAUUAAAGCCUUCUUCAUAUCAAAACUGCAUGCCCAAUACGGUGAAUCAAAUUUAAAAGAAAUGGUUAUCGGUAUGAUUAUCGACAGAUGAUAUUUUCAUUCCCUUUUACAAUCUAUGUUGGAAAAAAAAUCCAUAUUUUAUAAGUUAAAUUGAAUUAUUUAAAUGUAUUAAAAUUGUAAUGUACAAGCAGUUGUCUU